Molecule: long non-coding RNA, 302 nt
Filed under: Setaria italica (foxtail millet)
Lineage: Eukaryota; Viridiplantae; Streptophyta; Magnoliopsida; Poales; Poaceae
Description: long non-coding RNA (SITA_LNC000763)
Source: RNAcentral
UUUGCUUGAUGAUUCCUCACAUGGCAUCCGUGUCAUCUCUGUCGAUAGAUGACACCAUGCAAUCAUUUUUGUACUUUAUUUUUCAUGGGAGCAGGACGAUCAGAGGAUGAGGGAGUCCACGUAAUGGGGAGCGUGCACUUGCGCAAAAAAACAAAUGGUUAGGCGCACGACGCCCCAACUCCUACACGAAAGGAAGCCGUUCCGAGUCACGGCCGAUGCAGCUGCCCACGGCAAGCCACCCAAACGGAAAAAAUGUCGGCGUCACAGGACAAAUGCGAUCGUUCGAUUUAUGGCAAACCCAC